GCGUGGGAACGUACCUUUUGGUUCGGAACAACACAGGGAAACUUGUGCUAAUACCGGAUAAGCCCUUACGGGGAAAGAUUUAUCGCCGAAAGAUCGGCCCGCGUCUGAUUAGCUAGUUGGUGAGGUAACGGCUCACCAAGGCGACGAUCAGUAGCUGGUCUGAGAGGAUGAUCAGCCACAUUGGGACUGAGACACGGCCCAAACUCCUACGGGAGGCAGCAGUGGGGAAUAUUGGACAAUGGGCGCAAGCCUGAUCCAGCCAUGCCGCGUGAGUGAUGAAGGCCCUAGGGUUGUAAAGCUCUUUUGUGCGGGAAGAUAAUGACGGUACCGCAAGAAUAAGCCCCGGCUAACUUCGUGCCAGCAGCCGCGGUAAUACGAAGGGGGCUAGCGUUGCUCGGAAUCACUGGGCGUAAAGGGUGCGUAGGCGGGUCUUUAAGUCAGGGGUGAAAUCCUGGAGCUCAACUCCAGAACUGCCUUUGAUACUGAGGAUCUUGAGUUCGGGAGAGGUGAGUGGAACUGCGAGUGUAGAGGUGAAAUUCGUAGAUAUUCGCAAGAACACCAGUGGCGAAGGCGGCUCACUGGCCCGAUACUGACGCUUGAGGCACGAAAGCGUGCGGAGCAAACAGGAU
RNAcentral lists this ribosomal RNA (629 nucleotides) under uncultured bacterium. Its description in RNAcentral is "bacterial SSU rRNA". It matches the Rfam family "Bacterial small subunit ribosomal RNA", at positions 115 to 778 of the family's 1533-position model. The record is from RNAcentral.